GGCAUAAUACUUGCAAAAGAUGAUUAAGAAACCUUGGUAAAGGUCCAGACCAUGUACUUUGGAAAGGCAAAUUUAAUGGUCGAGGAUGCUUGUUGGGAAGGAAUGGUUUACAUCAUGUUACUUCGACCUUAGUACUUUAGUUAUUGUUGGUGGAUUAUUGUCAUCUUUUGGUACUUUAGCAAUUCUCCGUUGUUUCGAUACUCUUGAUAAAUGUAUUAAUUGAUUUAUUGUGGAGAACAGUAGUAGAAUUAUGAAUUUUUAUGUAGUAGUGGGUUGAUGUUGAUUUUGGAUGUAUUGGAUGCUUGGGAUUAUAUGGGAAUCGUGUAACUACUGAUUGGACAUUGUAAAUUUUUAUAAUUUUAGUGUUGCAUA
RNAcentral lists this long non-coding RNA (372 nucleotides) under Daucus carota (carrot). RNAcentral's name for it is "long non-coding RNA (DCAR_LNC005083)". The record is from RNAcentral. Lineage: Eukaryota; Viridiplantae; Streptophyta; Magnoliopsida; Apiales; Apiaceae.